Molecule: ribosomal RNA, 496 nt
Filed under: uncultured bacterium
Lineage: Bacteria
Description: partial 16S ribosomal RNA
Rfam family: Bacterial small subunit ribosomal RNA
Source: RNAcentral
AUGAACGCUGGCGGCGUGCCUAAUACAUGCAAGUCGAGCGAACGGACGAGAAGCUUGCUUCUCUGAUGUUAGCGGCGGACGGGUGAGUAACACGUGGAUAACCUACCUAUAAGACUGGGAUAACUUCGGGAAACCGUAGCUAAUACCGGAUAAUAUUUUGAACCGCAUGGUUCAAAAGUGAAAGACGGUCUUGCUGUCACUUAUAGAUGGAUCCGCGCUGCAUUAGCUAGUUGGUAAGGUAACGGCUUACCUAGGCAACGAUGCAUAGCCGACCUGAGAGGGUGAUCGGCCACACUGGAACUGAGACACGGUCCAGACUCCUACGGGAGGCAGCAGUAGGGAAUCUUCCGCAAUGGGCGAAAGCCUGACGGAGCAACGCCGCGUGAGUGAUGAAGGUCUUCGGAUCGUAAAACUCUGUUAUUAGGGAAGAACAUAUGUGUAAGUAACUGUGCACAUCUUGACGGUACCCAAUCAGAAAGCCACGGCUAACUACGUG